UAAGGAAUAUUGCUCAAUGGGAGAAAUCCUGAAGCAGCAACGCCGCGUGGAGGAUGAAGGGUCUAUGACUUGUAAACUCCUGUAAAGAAGGAAAAAAUUCCCAUUUGAUGGGAGAUGAUGGUACUUCUGGAGUAAGCCCCGGCUAACUACGUGCCAGCAGCCGCGGUAAUACGUAGGGGGCAAGCGUUGUCCGGAUUUACUGGGUUUAAAGGGUGCUCAGGCGGAUUUGUAAGUCAGAGGUGAAAUCUUACAGCUUAACUGUGAAACUGCCUUUGAUACUGCAAGCCUAGAGUAUGGAAGAGAGUGAUGGAAUAUCUGGUGUAGCAGUGAAAUGCGUAGAUAUCAGAUAGAACACCAAUGGCGAAGGCAGUCACUUGGUCCAUUACUGACGCUAAAGCACGAAAGCGUGGGUAGCAAACA
RNAcentral lists this ribosomal RNA (420 nucleotides) under uncultured bacterium. RNAcentral's name for it is "bacterial SSU rRNA". It matches the Rfam family "Bacterial small subunit ribosomal RNA", at positions 355 to 774 of the family's 1533-position model. The record is from RNAcentral.